CAAUCAUUCAAAGGCAAAAUACACAUUUCAGAGAUGCCAUUUCACCUGGUGAACGCCUAAUGAUAACUCUUCGCUUCUUGGCAACAGGGGAAUCAUUUCGUAGCCUGCAUUACGCUUUUCGCAUCGGAUGCUCAACUUUAAGCGAACUUAUACCCGAGACAUGUAGAGCCAUCUAUCAGGUUCUCAAAGAAAGACAUCUUAAGGCUGGACCUCUUCCUCCUCCUCUUCCCUUUCUUGUUCUUCCUCUUCUUGCUCCUGCUCUUUAUCAUCACGU
Long non-coding RNA from Sinocyclocheilus anshuiensis, 274 nucleotides. RefSeq lists it as uncharacterized. The transcript is spliced from 3 exons. The record is from RefSeq and is a predicted model, not a curated record. Lineage: Eukaryota; Metazoa; Chordata; Actinopteri; Cypriniformes; Cyprinidae.